GGAGUGCCCGAAAGGGAACCAUUACACAGGUGCUGCAUGGCUGUCGUCAGCUCGUGUCGUGAGAUGUUGGGUUAAGUCCCGCAACGAGCGCAACCCUUGUCAUUAGUUGCUACGAAAGAGCACUCUAAUGAGACUGCCGGUGACAAACCGGAGGAAGGUGGGGAUGACGUCAAGUCCUCAUGGCCCUUAUGGGUAGGGCUUCACACGUCAUACAAUGGUACAUACAGAGCGCCGCCAACCCGCGAGGGGGAGCUAAUCGCAGAAAGUGUAUCGUAGUCCGGAUUGUAGUCUGCAACUCGACUGCAUGAAGUUGGAAUCGCUAGUAAUCGCGGAUCAGCAUGUCGCGGUGAAUACGUUCCCGGGUCUUGUACACACCGCCCGUCACACCAUGGGAGCGGGUUUUACCAGAAGUAGGUAGCUUAACCGCAAGGAGGGCGCUUACCACGGUAGGAUUCGUGACUGGGGUGAAGUCGUAACAAGGUAGCCGUAUCGGAAGGUGCGGCUGGAUCACCUCCUUUCUAG
Molecule: ribosomal RNA, 522 nt
Filed under: Duganella margarita
Lineage: Bacteria; Pseudomonadati; Pseudomonadota; Betaproteobacteria; Burkholderiales; Oxalobacteraceae
Description: bacterial SSU rRNA
Rfam family: Bacterial small subunit ribosomal RNA
Source: RNAcentral